Silurus meridionalis is the source of this 491-nucleotide long non-coding RNA. RefSeq lists it as uncharacterized. NCBI's taxonomy places the organism in Eukaryota, Metazoa, Chordata, Actinopteri, Siluriformes, Siluridae. The transcript is spliced from 2 exons. The record is from RefSeq and is a predicted model, not a curated record.
ACAACAAUUCUAUGUGCUAGGAAGAAUAGCUAAAAAAAUCCAGGAGAGUCUUUGGAUAGAGUCAGUGUGUCUCCAACUUAAGAGGAGUCAGUCGAGAAGGUCAGUCGGCGAAAAAACAUCGGCGAUGACGACGAAUGAGUCUGACCUUCUGCCCAUAAUGAUAAAGCAUGGCUGAAGCAGUGGAGUGAAGCUGCCAUUAACCCAGACCAAGAUGCAGAAACGCAGAAUCAAUCGAGGAGUGCGCUUUUAUGAUGGAGUCGGCUCUGAUUUACUGUAGCCAUAAAGCCUCUCUGAGAGGCCAUGCGGUCUGCCGAAGUCUGAGAGGUACUCUAUUGUUCUACUGUAGUUUCACAAAGUUCUAUCACUCACUUCCUCAGCUGAAACUACCUUACGAGUGUGUAAAAGUAAUAAAACAAGAAUUUCUGCACCAAUUUCUGUGCCUUGCCUCACACUGUCGUGAAAGAAAUAAAGGAGAAGAAAUCCUGCUCACA